Molecule: non-coding RNA, 21 nt
Filed under: Arabidopsis thaliana (thale cress)
Lineage: Eukaryota; Viridiplantae; Streptophyta; Magnoliopsida; Brassicales; Brassicaceae
Source: RNAcentral
UGCCGUUUUCGUUUUAGGUUC